GGGUCUAUAGCUCAGCUGGUUAGAGCGCACGCCUGAUAAGCGUGAGGUCGGUGGU
Molecule: transfer RNA, 55 nt
Filed under: Limosilactobacillus equigenerosi DSM 18793 = JCM 14505
Lineage: Bacteria; Bacillati; Bacillota; Bacilli; Lactobacillales; Lactobacillaceae
Description: Lactobacillus equigenerosi DSM 18793 = JCM 14505 tRNA
Rfam family: tRNA
About the family: Transfer RNA (tRNA) molecules are approximately 80 nucleotides in length. Their secondary structure includes four short double-helical elements and three loops (D, anti-codon, and T loops).
Source: Rfam by way of RNAcentral